This 501-nucleotide long non-coding RNA is filed under the name Apteryx haastii (Great spotted kiwi). RNAcentral's name for it is "lncRNA (ENSAHAG00000009294.1)". The record is from RNAcentral. Lineage: Eukaryota; Metazoa; Chordata; Aves; Apterygiformes; Apterygidae.
AUGGUGCUACAGCUGGGAGACAGUGGAAUGUACCGUUUUAGAACAGAGUCACAGGAAACGGACUGGUUCCAACUGGAAGUUAUUGAACCACUGCCUGCUCCAGAAAUCGUGGGCAACUCCUCUGUGAAAGCAGGAGGCAACACUAAACUGGUCUGCAACAUCUCAGAAGGGAAGGCAGACUCCUACUGGUGGAAGAAGAAUGGGGAGCUGCUGCUUGGGAGUGACCAUUUCCAGUUUGUUCAUAACAACACGUUGCAUAUCAUUGAAGCGACAAUGAACGACAGCGGCUACUAUGCUUGUGUGGUCCGCAACAAAGUGAGCCAGAAUGAAACCUCCUUCCUGCUUCAUGUUCAGAACGCGGCAAACAUGGUCUUACCUGUGGUGAUGGCAUGCGUUAUCGUUGGCUCUCUAAUAGGUGUUUUCGUCUGGUGUAGGAGGAGGGGCCGCUUCCGUCACCGUGUCUGUAGCGCAUCAGAAGUUUCCAGAAAGUGGAGGGCCUGA